RNAcentral lists this ribosomal RNA (2925 nucleotides) under Enterobacter cloacae. RNAcentral describes it as "bacterial LSU rRNA". It matches the Rfam family "Bacterial large subunit ribosomal RNA". The record is from RNAcentral. Lineage: Bacteria; Pseudomonadati; Pseudomonadota; Gammaproteobacteria; Enterobacterales; Enterobacteriaceae.
GGGUUGUGAGGUUAAGCGACUAAGCGUACACGGUGGAUGCCCUGGCAGUCAGAGGCGAUGAAGGACGUGCUAAUCUGCGAAAAGCGCCGGCGAGGUGAUAUGAACCCUUGACCCGGCGAUGUCCGAAUGGGGAAACCCAGUGUGAUUCGUCACACUAUCGUUAACUGAAUACAUAGGUUAACGAGGCGAACCGGGGGAACUGAAACAUCUAAGUACCCCGAGGAAAAGAAAUCAACCGAGAUUCCCCCAGUAGCGGCGAGCGAACGGGGAGCAGCCCAGAGUCUGAAUCAGCUUGUGUGUUAGUGGAAGCGUCUGGAAAGUCGCACGGUACAGGGUGAUAGUCCCGUACACGAAAGCACACAGGCUGUGAACUCGAAGAGUAGGGCGGGACACGUGGUAUCCUGUCUGAAUAUGGGGGGACCAUCCUCCAAGGCUAAAUACUCCUGACUGACCGAUAGUGAACCAGUACCGUGAGGGAAAGGCGAAAAGAACCCCGGCGAGGGGAGUGAAAAAGAACCUGAAACCGUGUACGUACAAGCAGUGGGAGCACCUUCGGGUGUGACUGCGUACCUUUUGUAUAAUGGGUCAGCGACUUAUAUUCUGUAGCAAGGUUAACCGUAUAGGGGAGCCGAAGGGAAACCGAGUCUUAACUGGGCGUUAAGUUGCAGGGUAUAGACCCGAAACCCGGUGAUCUAGCCAUGGGCAGGUUGAAGGUUGGGUAACACUAACUGGAGGACCGAACCGACUAAUGUUGAAAAAUUAGCGGAUGACCUGUGGCUGGGGGUGAAAGGCCAAUCAAACCGGGAGAUAGCUGGUUCUCCCCGAAAGCUAUUUAGGUAGCGCCUCGUGAACUCAUCUUCGGGGGUAGAGCACUGUUUCGGCUAGGGGGCCAUCCCGGCUUACCAACCCGAUGCAAACUACGAAUACCGAAGAAUGUUAUCACGGGAGACACACGGCGGGUGCUAACGUCCGUCGUGAAGAGGGAAACAACCCAGACCGCCAGCUAAGGUCCCAAAGUCAUGGUUAAGUGGGAAACGAUGUGGGAAGGCCCAGACAGCCAGGAUGUUGGCUUAGAAGCAGCCAUCAUUUAAAGAAAGCGUAAUAGCUCACUGGUCGAGUCGGCCUGCGCGGAAGAUGUAACGGGGCUAAACCAUGCACCGAAGCUGCGGCAGCGACGCUUAUGCGUUGUUGGGUAGGGGAGCGUUCUGUAAGCCGUUGAAGGUGGCCUGUGAGGGUUGCUGGAGGUAUCAGAAGUGCGAAUGCUGACAUAAGUAACGAUAAAGCGGGUGAAAAGCCCGCUCGCCGGAAGACCAAGGGUUCCUGUCCAACGUUAAUCGGGGCAGGGUGAGUCGACCCCUAAGGCGAGGCCGAAAGGCGUAGUCGAUGGGAAACAGGUUAAUAUUCCUGUACUUGGUGUUACUGCGAAGGGGGGACGGAGAAGGCUAUGUUAGCCGGGCGACGGUUGUCCCGGUUUAAGCAUGUAGGCGGAGGUUCCAGGUAAAUCCGGUACCUUUUAACGCUGAGGUGUGAUGACGAGGCACUACGGUGCUGAAGUAACAAAUGCCCUGCUUCCAGGAAAAGCCUCUAAGCAUCAGGUAACACGAAAUCGUACCCCAAACCGACACAGGUGGUCAGGUAGAGAAUACCAAGGCGCUUGAGAGAACUCGGGUGAAGGAACUAGGCAAAAUGGUGCCGUAACUUCGGGAGAAGGCACGCUGAUAUGUAGGUGAAGCCCCUGCGGGUGGAGCUGAAAUCAGUCGAAGAUACCAGCUGGCUGCAACUGUUUAUUAAAAACACAGCACUGUGCAAACACGAAAGUGGACGUAUACGGUGUGACGCCUGCCCGGUGCCGGAAGGUUAAUUGAUGGGGUUAGCGGCAACGCGAAGCUCUUGAUCGAAGCCCCGGUAAACGGCGGCCGUAACUAUAACGGUCCUAAGGUAGCGAAAUUCCUUGUCGGGUAAGUUCCGACCUGCACGAAUGGCGUAAUGAUGGCCAGGCUGUCUCCACCCGAGACUCAGUGAAAUUGAACUCGCUGUGAAGAUGCAGUGUACCCGCGGCAAGACGGAAAGACCCCGUGAACCUUUACUAUAGCUUGACACUGAACACUGGUCCUUGAUGUGUAGGAUAGGUGGGAGGCUUUGAAGCGUGGACGCCAGUCUGCGUGGAGCCGUCCUUGAAAUACCACCCUUUAAUGGCUGGUGUUCUAACGUAGACCCGUAAUCCGGGUUGCGGACAGUGUCUGGUGGGUAGUUUGACUGGGGCGGUCUCCUCCCAAAGAGUAACGGAGGAGCACGAAGGUUAGCUAAUCCUGGUCGGACAUCAGGAGGUUAGUGCAAUGGCAUAAGCUAGCUUGACUGCGAGAGUGACGGCUCGAGCAGGUGCGAAAGCAGGUCAUAGUGAUCCGGUGGUUCUGAAUGGAAGGGCCAUCGCUCAACGGAUAAAAGGUACUCCGGGGAUAACAGGCUGAUACCGCCCAAGAGUUCAUAUCGACGGCGGUGUUUGGCACCUCGAUGUCGGCUCAUCACAUCCUGGGGCUGAAGUAGGUCCCAAGGGUAUGGCUGUUCGCCAUUUAAAGUGGUACGCGAGCUGGGUUUAGAACGUCGUGAGACAGUUCGGUCCCUAUCUGCCGUGGGCGCUGGAGAAUUGAGGGGGGCUGCUCCUAGUACGAGAGGACCGGAGUGGACGCAUCACUGGUGUUCGGGUUGUCAUGCCAAUGGCACUGCCCGGUAGCUAAAUGCGGAAGAGAUAAGUGCUGAAAGCAUCUAAGCACGAAACUUGCCCCGAGAUGAGUUCUCCCUGAGACUUAAAGUCUCCUGAAGGAACGUUGAAGACGACGACGUUGAUAGGUCGGGUGUGUAAGCGCAGCGAUGCGUUGAGCUAACCGAUACUAAUGAACCGUGAGGCUUAACCUUACAACGCCGAAG